AACAAACGCUGGCGGCGUGCCUAAUACAUGCAAGUCGAACGGGGAAAGCUUUCGGGUGAGUACUAGUGGCGCACGGGUGAGUAACGCGUGGAUAAUCUGCCCUCGAAUGGGGAAUAACUAGUCGAAAGAUUAGCUAAUACCGCAUAAGACCACGACUACUGAGGUAGUUGGGGUCAAAGGAGCAAUUCGUUUGAGGAUGAGUCCGCGUAAGAUUAGCUAGUUGGUGAGGUAAUGGCUCACCAGGGCGAUGAUCUUUAACUGGUCUGAGAGGAUGAUCAGUCACACUGGAACUGAGACACGGUACAGACUCCUACGGGAGGCAGCAGUAGGGAAUAUUGGACAAUGGGGGCAACCCUGAUCCAGCAACGCCGCGUGAGCGAUGAAGGCCUUCGGGUCGUAAAGCUCUGUUGUAAGGGAAAAAGUUCUGAUUGUACCUUACGAGAAAGGAUCGGCUAACUUCGUGCCAGCCGCCGCCGUAA
RNAcentral lists this ribosomal RNA (479 nucleotides) under uncultured bacterium. Its description in RNAcentral is "partial 16S ribosomal RNA". It matches the Rfam family "Bacterial small subunit ribosomal RNA", at positions 29 to 523 of the family's 1533-position model. The record is from RNAcentral.